Molecule: ribosomal RNA, 253 nt
Filed under: uncultured bacterium
Lineage: Bacteria
Description: partial 16S ribosomal RNA
Rfam family: Bacterial small subunit ribosomal RNA
Source: RNAcentral
GACAGAGGGUGCGAACGUUGUUCGGAAUUACUGGGCGUAAAGCGCGUGUAGGCUGUUCGGAAAGUCGGGUGUGAAAGCCCUGGGCUCAACCUAGGAAGUGCACUCGAAACUCCCGAACUGGAGUCCCGGAGAGGAAGGCGGAAUUCUCGGUGUAGAGGUGAAAUUCGUAGAUAUCGAGAGGAACAUCGGUGGCGAAGGCGGCCUUCUGGACGGUGACUGACACUGAGACGCGAAAGCGUGGGGAGCAAACAGG